RNAcentral lists this ribosomal RNA (429 nucleotides) under Gemmatimonadota bacterium. RNAcentral describes it as "Gemmatimonadetes bacterium partial 16S ribosomal RNA". It matches the Rfam family "Bacterial small subunit ribosomal RNA", at positions 355 to 776 of the family's 1533-position model. Lineage: Bacteria; Pseudomonadati; Gemmatimonadota. The record is from RNAcentral.
UAGGGAAUCUUCGGCAAUGGACGAAAGUCUGACCGAGCAACGCCGCGUGAGUGAAGAAGGUUUUCGGAUCGUAAAACUCUGUUGUUAGAGAAGAACAAGGACGUUAGUAACUGAACGUCCCCUGACGGUAUCUAACCAGAAAGCCACGGCUAACUACGUGCCAGCAGCCGCGGUAAUACGUAGGUGGCAAGCGUUGUCCGGAUUUAUUGGGCGUAAAGCGAGCGCAGGCGGUUUCUUAAGUCUGAUGUGAAAGCCCCCGGCUCAACCGGGGGAGGUGAUUGGAAACUGGGAGACUUGAGUGCAGAAGAGGAGAGUGGAAUUCCAUGUGUAGCGGUGAAAUGCGUAGAUAUAUGGAGAAACACCAGUGGCGAAGGCGGCUCUCUGAUCUGUAACUGACGCUGAGGCUCGAAAGCGUGGGGAGCAAACAGG